AAAUAAUAAAAAAUUUAAAACAGAUGAGAAAGUGCCUAAAGCCAAAAAGAGGAAAACAAUUUACAAGUCUCAAAAUGAAGAAAGACUAAGACUUGCAACUCUCUAAAAAUUGGGAAGCUACAACUAAUUGACAGUCCUGAACGUUGGGACCAACAUAGGCAGAGUGAUUAUAUUUUCUGUAGCCUCCGCAAAUUAGGUUUGUUGAAAAUGAACAAAACGUUUUUAGACCCACAAAAACAAGUAUAUAUAUCUUUCUAUCUGUUCAUAAGAUGGAAUUUUGUGUUUCUUACUAGGGGGAAAAUUAGUCCUAAGGCAUAUACAAACACCAAAGCCAGGAUUAAAAAAUAGAUGACUCAUUAAUAGGAGCUCAUAGGUUUAACUAAGAGACUGGCUAAAGAUUAACAGAAGUAGAUAUCUGGUACAAUACUGCAUAAUAAUUUCUCAGAUAAUUUUACUUCCCCAGGCUGCCUUGGCUUCAAAACAUUAACAAGUUCACUACCUUAACCUAACCUUGCCAAGCCGAAGUAUUUAAAUCCUACUUGGCAAAGUACUUGACAAGCCAAAGCACUUGCCAUGCCAAAGUACUUAAAUCCUACUUUUCUUCUAAGUUAAUAAUCAAUUCAGAAAGAAGAAUAACUGAAAAACCAAAGUGGAUAGCCAUGUUUGGCACAACUAAAUCUGUAAUUAGUUGGAAAAAAAAUAUUACACUUACUCAUACCACUGUUUAUUGUGUUUUCGGUAAAGCAACGUAUCCAAGGCAACAGCAUUGACAUCCAGAGCUCCUGGGGAAGGCCACUGGUUGGUGAGAGAUAUUACUAGAAGACUAAAGGAUGCAAACUGCAUUUUACAUCUUAACUAAAAAACAAUAGUGAUAUCUUAAAGCAACAGGUUAUCAGAUGCCAGUUAAAAUAUGAAGGAAAAUAAAGAUCCCAUGUGUAUGAUUUUCUAGCUUCAAAAUUCACAAUCUAUGUUACAAAGCUCUAUUUUUAAAUCAACCUUUAGUAAUGCUUUUCCUGGACUACUACUCCUGUGCUACUUUCGUAAUGUGUAUAUACCUUUAUUACCAUACAAAUAUGCAUGUCCCGAUACACUCAUCACAUCACUUAGAUGUCA
Pipistrellus kuhlii (Kuhl's pipistrelle) is the source of this 1113-nucleotide long non-coding RNA. RefSeq lists it as uncharacterized. NCBI's taxonomy places the organism in Eukaryota, Metazoa, Chordata, Mammalia, Chiroptera, Vespertilionidae. The record is from RefSeq and is a predicted model, not a curated record. The transcript has 3 exons.